UACGAAGGGGGCGAGCGUUGUUCGGAAUUACUGGGCGUAAAGGGCGCGCAGGCGGCUCUGAAAGUCAGAUGUGAAAGCCCCGGGCUUAACCUGGGAAUUGCAUUUGAUACUCUGGAGCUUGAGUACGGGAGAGGAGAGUGGAAUUCCCAGUGUAGAGGUGAAAUUCGUAGAUAUCGGGAGGAACACCAGUGGCGAAGGCGGCGAUCUGGGAAGAUACUGACGCUGAGGUGCGAAAGCGUGGGGAGCAAACAGG
This 253-nucleotide ribosomal RNA is filed under the name uncultured bacterium. Its description in RNAcentral is "partial 16S ribosomal RNA". It matches the Rfam family "Bacterial small subunit ribosomal RNA", at positions 524 to 776 of the family's 1533-position model. The record is from RNAcentral.